CCGGAGACGUGACUGUAUCACCAGGCACAACAUUUGUUUGCGAAAUGUCGUCAUAUUCCUGAAUCACAACGUAAAAAUUUCAGCAUUCGUAUCGUACAAAUGCGGAUAGCUUGUUGCUCGAAGCCAAGGAGCAGAAAUUGAUUGAAGAUAUUACAGCCCCUAUGAAAUUAGACCGAAAACUAUUUGCAGAUGACAAAUCUUACCGAAAAUAUUUAGAGUGUUUUGCAGAAUUAGAAGGAAGCACUACAGUCGUCACCAUGCGUUGUUUUGAUUUAGAAAAAAAAUGUGAGACACUCAUAAGACGUGAGGAGGAUCUUCUUAUAGACACGGUAAAUAGUCUAUGAAUUAUUGA
Molecule: long non-coding RNA, 352 nt
Organism: Planococcus citri (citrus mealybug)
Lineage: Eukaryota; Metazoa; Arthropoda; Insecta; Hemiptera; Pseudococcidae
Exons: 3
Source: RefSeq, a predicted model, not a curated record